Molecule: ribosomal RNA, 496 nt
Filed under: uncultured bacterium
Lineage: Bacteria
Description: partial 16S ribosomal RNA
Rfam family: Bacterial small subunit ribosomal RNA
Source: RNAcentral
AUUGAACGCUGGCGGAAUGCUUUACACAUGCAAGUCGAACGGUAGAGGGGGCAACCCCUCGAGAGUGGCGAACGGGUGAGUAAUAUAUCGGAACGUGCCCAGUCGUGGGGGAUAACGUAGCGAAAGUUACGCUAAUACCGCAUACGAUCUAAGGAUGAAAGCGGGGGAUCGCAAGACCUCGCGCGAUUGGAGCGGCCGAUAUCAGAUUAGGUAGUUGGUGGGGUAAAGGCUCACCAAGCCAACGAUCUGUAGCUGGUCUGAGAGGACGACCAGCCACACUGGAACUGAGACACGGUCCAGACUCCUACGGGAGGCAGCAGUGGGGGAUUUUGGACUAUUGACGCAAGUCUGAUCCAGCCAUUCCGCGUGCAGGAUGAAGGCCCUCGGGUUGUAAACUGCUUUUGUACGGAACGAAAAGGUCUCUCUUAAUACGGGGGGCUCAUGACGGUACCGUAAGAAUAAGCACCGGCUAACUACGUGCCAGCCGCCGCGGUAA